ACGUGAAAUUGUCGAAAGGGAAGCGCUUGAAGUCAGCCAUGCUGCUUGAGACUCAGCCUUGCUUUUGCUUGGUGUAUUUCUCGGUAGCAAGCCAGCAUUGGUUCGAGUCGUCGGAGAAGGGUAUGAGAAAUGUGGCAUCCUCGGAUGUGUUAUAGACUUGUACUGGAUACGACGAUUUGGAUCAAGGAACGCAGUGUGCCU
RNAcentral lists this ribosomal RNA (201 nucleotides) under Malassezia pachydermatis. RNAcentral's name for it is "partial large subunit ribosomal RNA". Lineage: Eukaryota; Fungi; Basidiomycota; Malasseziomycetes; Malasseziales; Malasseziaceae. The record is from RNAcentral.